GGCCUCAUCGUCUAAUGGUUAGGACAGCGGCUUCUCAAGCCGUCAAUAGGGGUUCGAUUCCCCUUGGGGCUA
RNAcentral lists this transfer RNA (72 nucleotides) under Candidatus Uhrbacteria bacterium. RNAcentral describes it as "tRNA-Glu". It matches the Rfam family "tRNA". From Rfam's summary of the family: Transfer RNA (tRNA) molecules are approximately 80 nucleotides in length. Their secondary structure includes four short double-helical elements and three loops (D, anti-codon, and T loops). Lineage: Bacteria; Candidatus Uhriibacteriota. The record is from RNAcentral.